Molecule: long non-coding RNA, 8386 nt
Organism: Nicotiana attenuata
Lineage: Eukaryota; Viridiplantae; Streptophyta; Magnoliopsida; Solanales; Solanaceae
Exons: 5
Source: RefSeq, a predicted model, not a curated record
AAUGGUGGGACUUAUAAAAAGAAGACGGGGGUAAAAUUAUUAGUAUCUUUGGCUAUUUACCAAGCUUUGGGAGCAAGGAUCCAUAAAACUAACCUUCGGGAUUGAAGAUUUUGAGCCAAGCUUCUGAGAAUUUCUUUCUCCUUUCUUUAAUUCCUUGUCUUGGAUUGCUAUAUUUGGUUUGGUUGAUGUAAUUUCAGGUUUGGAUUUUGUAAUAGGGAUAUUUCAAUAUUAGGGUCUUGAUUUUAAUGUUUUGUUGCUUUUGUAGUAAUUGAAUCUUGCUUAUUUAUGAAAUGGGUCUUUAGCUUAUUUGAUUAAUCUUGUGCUUUAUUGCUUUCAAAGAGAGUAGCUAACUCUAGGACAUCCCCAAUUGACAUGAUUCACCUUGGGAAAGAGAAUUAGGUUCGGCCUUAGAUUAAUUGACGAGAUUCUAGGUUAAUUGAGGAAUUGAUUAAUCCUAGUCUAGUGAUUGAGGUUAGGGAUAGCCCUUCACGCUCGUAGCCUAAAGUUGGAUUGCACUUAAUGCAACUUGGUUAGAUUAGGGAUAAUCAACCGGGUUAAACUCAUUAUUUGUUGAGAAACGGUAGUGGUAAUCGAGUUUUAAGGCUAAUGACCUAGACCUAUGAUUAAUUAGCAAGAGUUGAUUAAAUACAUUAGAUUAAUCUUGACAUUAAAGUCUUCCCUGUUAUCCAUAUUCUCUUAUUUUCCUUGCUUGUGUGAAUGCCAUUGAUCACUUUAUUUGCUUUCUUAGAGUAGAUCUUAUUUUUCUUAGGUUUUAGUCCUCAUCAACCUUUUAUAAAGUGUUUGGCUUAGCUAAAUUGGUGACAAUUCCUCACUAGCUUGACCGCCCAUAUAUUGUUCUCUGUGGAUUUGGACAUCAUCAAAAUUGGCGCUGUUGCCGGGAACAAUUGGCGUAUUAUGUUAGUCUAAGAAGUUAACCAACUGGCUUUGGUCCAAACGUUGUGAUUAUUUGUUUAAGUGUUUGUGUUUUGUGAAUACGUGUUUUGUGAUUUUUCGUGUUUCUUUUGUGCUAGUUUAGUUUUGUUUUUGUUUCUUGUUUUGUUAUGACAUCUUGGAAUGAAAAUGGGUUGGAUGGUUGCAAUCUUUAUUUUGAUGACCUAUGUCCUUAUUGUGGAGGAUCCCACUAUUGGAAAACUUGUCAAAGAGUUCCUAGGAGCGAGAUGUGUGCACCAUCUAAAUCCUAUGAGGGAAAUGGUUGUUAUUUGUGUGGUGGUGUAGAUGGUCAUUUGGACUAUUGUCCAAAGUAUUUUGCCCCUCCCCCAAGUUAUUCCUACGGAAGUGCUAAUUAUUCUAGUAAUUUUGAUAGGGAUAAUGAAGCGGCAAAUGAGGGAUAUAGUGUCGAGUUUCAAGGAAUUCAAGAAAUGUUCCAACUCUAUAUGGAGCCGGAGGCCAAAAUGGACAAAAUGCAAGAGGAUAUUCAACAAAAGAUUUUGGCCAAUAACACUAUGUUAGAAACGUGAAAAAGAAGGUUGAGGAAAUCAACGCCUCAGAAGGCAUGGAUUUGUCUAGUUCUCUAGAGGUUGUAAUUGAAAAAGAGAUUUCAAGCCUAAUGAAAGAGUCCACUUUGGUUGAUGAGCGUGAAGAAAUUUGUGAAAAUGAAAGUGUGGUUCAAUUUGUGGAAGUGCAAGGUGAAGAAGGAAUCUCCAAUGCUCAAAAGGAGGAAAAUUGAGGAAAUGUUGAGAGGCAUAAUGGGGAGAGACAAAAGAUGGAGACAGAUCUUGCGAAGUUGGUGGGAGAAAUUCCAACAAGGUGAUGAAGCCGUACAAGGCAUGGAUUGUACUAUGGAAGCACUUAUACAAGCCUUGAUCGAGUUUGAAGAAAAAGCUAAAAAAGUAAAGAUUUUGAGCGAAGAAUGGCUAAUGAAUCAAGCUCAACAACUUGGAGUUUGUAGGGAUCAUCGUGAAGGCAUUUCAAGGAUGUUGGAGGAAUUUUUGGAAAGAAAUAUUGAGCAAGGACAAGAAUUGGAGCAACUUGGAAUUGCUAUUCGUGACUUGAGGGCUAUUUUGAGUGCAAAAGUUAAGGCAUGUAAUGCUAAACUUCUAGUGGGUGUGGAAUGUGGAUAGUGGUUUUGAGUUGUGUGACAUUGACAAUGAGGUCGAGAUUCAAGUUGAAGAGCUAACUGUAGAAUUUCAAUCUUUCGACCCCAAGAUAGUUGGUGAUGCCGAGAUUAAAAAAUUCUAGUACAUGUGCAAAUAUGGAUGUCAACAGUCGUGAAAUUUUGGAGUUUGAGCCCAUUGGACCUCAUUCUAUCCGUUUUCCAACAUUAUAUUUGGUUGGUGAUAUGGAAAUUGAGCUAACCGAGCCUAUGGAGGAAUUUGGAGAUGAAGAACAAGUUGCUUAUAUUUUGAAGUUUGCCAUGCUUAUAAGACAAAAGGACAUCCUUCAUUUGAAGGCUAAAAAGUGCAAGAUGCGACACCGGGUAGUUGGCCUCUUUUAUUUUGUACCACCGCCGCAAGAGCAUAGCCGUAAACCUGAUUUGAAGUUGGGGACCCAAUUCAUAUCCUCAAAGUGGAAAGAAAAGUGUUUAUUUGGUUCAUGUCGUGCCACGACCUUAAAUGCGGCGCUUCAUGGGAGGCAACCCAUGUUUUCUUUCAUUUUCAACUGAGUAAUCUGAUUUUAGUUUUUAGUUAUGUUUCUCUUAAUAUUUUAAGUCACUCUACUGAAUUUCAUCUCAUUUGGCAUUGUAUUGCACAGUUUAAGAGGUGGGCUUGUUUUUAGAAAAAAAAAAGUGCAGAAAACUGCCUAGAGUUCCAGAUGCAGGCAUUUAAAAGACAAAAAAAAAAACUGAAGCACCUCUCAUUUGGUCAAAUAUCUUCAAACAUGUGCCGAGCCCUUCUCCCUCAAAGCUCUCUAAAUCCUUGCAACUGGCACUCCACAUUCAUUCCUUACUGAUACUUCUCCAUUCUUCAUCUCUGUAAGUGGAGUUCCAGAAUUACGAGAUUCAUUUGGCAGUCCCCUUCUUUCUCAAUUUAAUUUUCGAUCUCCUAGUUUCAGGUAUGGCUUCUAUUUCUCUUCUGUUCUCAUUUUUUUUUACUCUCUUUCUUCCUUCUUAUUCUCUUUCUUGUGAACCUAAACUAGUUUGAAAGCCAUGAAUAUCUGAGUGUGUUUUUAUAUAUGGCCGAAUUGGGCUCAAUUUAUGGUUUGAAUGGUGGUACAGUUUGUGCAAUUUGAUUUUCUGUGGUGAGGAUUUGGUUUAGUGAUUGUGUGUGCUAUUGUUUAUGAAACAAAGUGGGGGAAUUCUGAGUACCUCUCUUCUCUUAAAUCAACUGAUUUGAACUAUGACCACAAUGUGUUCGACAAAUUUUCACCGGAGGAAUUUGAACUAUUCAGUGAAGUCUGAGUGACCAAAGGCUUAGUAAUAGUUCCUAGAAUUGAAUAUGGGAUGGGGGCGAGCUACACAAACUAAUUCUGUGACUGCUUGUGUGAAGCCAAGAGUGUGUUCAUAGUGUGAGCUGCUUUAGAAUGAUCCGCGACUGUACUGAAUGAGUUAUCCCAGCUCGCAAGAUGUUCUUGCAUGUGUAAUUCAAACUAUAGUGCUUAUGAAUGUGCCGAAUGUCAUUUGGAAUAGGCUAUUCCUACUUUAAGUUCACUUGCAUUUUUCACUCUACUUGAGAGAUGAAUGAUCAUGAAUGAGGCUUCAUGUCGAGAACUGCAAUGCAAAUUGAAAGUUGCGAUUUACAAUAUCCUGAGAGAAUAGAAGUUAUCCUGAGACGUUUAACUGAGUUGUAGGAAUUGUGCUUAACGUAAAAUGCUUCUUGUUCUCUCAAAUUGAAUUGGCUUAGGGCAUGAACUAAAUGUGGGAUGUUUCAGUUCUCAUGACUUUUUGGUGAUUAUUAAUUGAGAUGCUAUGCUAUAUCCUGAUACUGCAGCCUUAGUUGAUUCAUAUUACCGAUCUGAGUCUGCAUGCUAAUUGUAUUACUGAGUGAGUGGAAGGAUUAAGCCUGGUUAACUUAGCAGUUAGCACCUGGAGCUUGGAAUUCAGUUGUUAUUCAUACUUAGAUUGAUUAAAUUGGAGGGGAAGUCCAAGUACCUUUCUUGCCUGAAAUGACCAAGCAAAUUGUUUCUUUGGUUCCUAUUAGUCAACUGUGUGGCUGCAUAAAUGAAAGCUAUUUCACAUCUAUGUAACAUUUCAAUGUGCUUGCAUGGAUUAUAGUUACCUUUUGCUCUUGUUUUGGUAUGUGGGCUGAUUCAUACAUUAAUGUGCAAGGUAUAAAUUUGUGAGUGAAACUGUGUAAAAAGUACUUCUUGUGGAAAGUGAAAGUAUCUGAGACUUGAAUUGUGAGCUAAAGACCUAUCAGUGGUGAUAGAAAGUAUGCUUUAUUUGUUGCGAAGCUUUUGUGAGUCCUUUUGAUGUGAUGACAGUGGUUUUAGAGUUGGCAGGAAACAAUAAGUUUUCAUAUAUCAAGUAAGAACAUUUCUCUGGCAUUAAUGGUGUCCGAUACAUUACUCUAGUUGCUUGUACCUUAUUCUCACAUGUCAUUUCAUUUUUCAGGUACUUCUUAACAUUAAAUGGCCUCUAGUGCAUUCGAAAUAGCUCAAGGAGCAGAAAGAAGACAAAUUCUCGGACACACAUCGUUUCAGGGAGUCCCUCUACUUUGCUUUUAUUGUUAGUUGCAUCGAGGACAAUACCACAUUUUAAGUUGGGGGGAGGAGCUUAAUUGUCUUUGGGGGAAGCUAUUUGAGCUAAAUUGACUUGAUUUGACUUUUUGUGAGAUGACUUGGUUAUUUAACUUUAUUUACAGUUUUUAAUAGUUCUUUUUUCUUUAUUUUUUUUAAGUCAACUUCUUUUGUUAUCUUAUUAGUAACUAGUAAUGAAUAAAUGGUGUUGGUUGUAAUUUUUGCCCCUUAUCCAACUUGUGGCUUGUUUGGUACCAACAUACUUAAACUUUGGCAUGUGAAUUGUAUUUUGAAAAUGAAAGAAAAUUAAAGUGAUGAUGUUUGUUGUGAUCUUUAGGCUCGAUUUUUGGCUCUUUGUUCACUAAAUAGUCUCUUUAGACUAUAAGUAGUUUUUUGAGUUUAAUUGUUCUUAAUUGGGAUUUGAAGACACAUAUCCUACUUGCUUUCCAUGUGCCAAUGUGUGGUGAGAAUUUUGUUAGUUCUUUGCUUUACUUAUGAUCUAAAACUUGCCCCAAAUGUGAUUUGAAGCGAAAUCAUAGGCUUUACUUGGCUUGAAAAAGGAUUUUACGCCUUCUUUGGACCAUGUGUGCCUUAAUGUUCCUACCUUUGCAUGUGUUCCCUACAGUGUUAUAAAUAGCGCUCGCUACAACGCUAAAAGCGUGUAGCGACGCGAGGCGAGGGUGUGUCGCUUCAGAGCAUCUGUUGCGUUGCGAUUCAAAAUAGCGGCCGCCUCUCUCUGUGUUGCGUGAGGCAACAGUGUCGUGAAAAGCUACUGUAGCGUCGCUAUUUUUUAAAAAAAAAAAAGGGAAAGGGAGAAGACUUAAGUCGGGAAUUAGGGCUUCGAGCUUUUCACCUGCGAACAAAAAAACAAAGCUUCAGCGAUUAGGGCUUUUCACCUGCGAACAAACCAACAGUCUUCUUCAGUCUUGUUCUUCAUCAUCUGGCUUCAUCUUCUUCAAGCUUCAACAGCGAAAAAACAGAGCGUUGAAAAUUGAAAUGGCGUCAUCCGAUAGUAAUAAACGAAAUGAUAUAGCUUGGAAUUAUGCUAUACAAGGCUCAUCAAGAUUCGCAAUUAAAUGUGUGUUUUGUGAAAAAAAUAUAUCAUGGUGGGAUAACUCGUCACAAGCAACAUUUGAUAUGUGGAUUUAAAAAUGUAAUACAAUGUCCCCUUUGUCCGCCCGAGGUUAGGGAGGAAGUAAAAGCGUUUGUUGAAAAGAAAAAUGUGGCAAGAACUCAAAUGAAUUAUGAAACAUUGAUGAAGAUGAUGAAAUGGAUGAAGAAGGUGAAAUGGGACCUCCCGACUCAUAAGAUAAAUUCAAAUACUUCUAGUGGGUCAUCCACGUCACGUACGAUGACAAAAGGUCCUCAUAAUCUUUAUUUCUCGGCAAAACAACAAGAAAGGGGAAAAGGUGAAGAAGGUUCAGGUUUAGAAGCCAAGAAGAUUUUGAGGGAUCGCGCCGUCAGUGCCUUUGCAUCAUGGAUGUGCGAUGCAGGGCUUCCUUUCAACUAUGUUAACUACAAUAGUUUUGAUAAAUUCAUUAAGGCCGUAGGACAAUAUGGCCCAGGAAUGAAGCCUCUUAGCUAUCAUGAAGUUAGAGUAACUCAUCUUAAAAAGGAGGUGAAGAAGAUAGACCAAAUUAUUGAGGAGCAUAAAGUAGAAUGGAACAGGUUUGGAUGUUCCAUUAUGAUGGGUAAAUGGACAACACAGAAUGUAAAAAUGAUCGUAAAUGUGUUGGUGAACUCUCCAAGAGGGAGUAUUUUUCUUGAAUCUGACGAUGCUAGCAACUCUUCUGCGGAUGGAAGCAAAAUGUACAGCUUGUUUAGAAAGACUAUUGAUAAAAUUGGAAAGUGAAAUGUUGUACAAAUUGUUACAAAUAACGCUAGUGAGAAUGUUAGUGCGGGGAAGAUGAUGGAAGCUAUGUAUCCAAACAUUUAUUGGACUCCAUGUGUUGCCCAUUGUAUCAACUUGAUGUUUGGUGACAUAUUCAAGGAAAACCCAUAUGCUUAAGUUUUCACUAAAGCCGUCAAGGUAUAUUCUUACAUCAAUCAGAGGUCGUCGUCGUUGAAUUUGAUGAGGAAAUUCACAAAUGAAAGAAAUUUGGUGAGACCGGCCAAGACUAGAUUUGCAACGACUUUCUUAACUUUGCAUAGUUUUUACUUGGAAAAAAUAAAUUUGAGAAAGCUAGUUCUUUCGAAUGAAUGGAAAGAUAAUAAAUAUGCAAAGGAAGCUGCGGGGAAAGAAACUGCCAAAGUUCUUAUUUCUCCAUCAUUCUGGAAUGACGUCGUUCGGGCUCUUAAAGUUGGUGGUCCUUUGAUUAGGGUGCUUCGUAUGGUGGAUGGGGAGAAAAAACUACCAAUGGGCUAUCUUUAUGAAGCUAUGGAUAGAGCCAAAGAGAGUAUUGCAGCGUCAUUUGAGGGAGAUGUUAGGAAAUAUGAGAAAGUUUUUGAGAUAAUUGAUACCAGGUGGAACAAUCAACUCCAUCGACCUUUGCAUGCAGCAGGCCAUCUUCUGAACCCGGGAUUAUUUUACAAGAACACUAGAGAUGAAACUUUGGAUUCAGAGGUGUGAAUUGGAUACCAUGCAUGUCUUGAGAAGUUGAUCCCUAAUUCAGCGACGAUAGAUCAAAUAGGGGAGGAGUUUGGUAAGUACUCACAAGCAGAGGGCCUAUUUGGUUUACCGGCCGCCAUUAGAGCCAGAGACAUAAGGUCGCCAGUUGAAUGGUGGAAGCAAUUUGGACAUCAAACUCCAAACUUGCAAAAGUUUGCCAUCAAAGUAUUAAGCCUAACUUGUAGUGCAUCUAGAUGCGAGAGAAAUUGCAGCGUACUUGAGCAUAUUCACUCCAAGAAAAGGAAUAGGCUUGAGCUAUCGCGUCUCAAUGAUCUAGUGUAUAGUGUAUAUUAAAUACAAUAGAACAUUGAGGCGACGUUAUGAAGCUCGCGAUACCACUGAUCCAAUUUUGUUGGACAACAUUGACGAGGCAAAUGAAUCGUUAACUGGAGCCCCCCGAAAUCAUGAAGAUGAACAAGUGUAUGAAGGAGAUGAUCUUGAUUGGGGUACUAUUUCUAUGGCGGUUGGAGUUGAAGAGAAUAUCUAUGGACUUAGAGGGAGUUCUUCAAGUUACAAGGGAAAGGGAGUAGCAAGUUCAAGCCGGUCCCUAAUUGAUGAAGAGUCCGAGGAUGAAGAAGAUGAUAGCUAAUAUAAUGCUAACAUUCAUGAAGUUGUAGAAUUUGAAAAUCUUAAAGAAGAUUAGAUGUUGCUUGUUUUAGAGUUUAGACUAUUAGACUUUAAUUUAUGAAUCUACUAUGAGUCUAUGACUAUCUAUUGAGUUUUUGAUUUUAGAAUGAUAUAUUUAUUAAUAUAUUUUUGUUAUUGAGUUUUUAGUUAUAUGUAUAUAAUAUUUUAUUUUUUGUAUAAAUUGUCGCUUCACAUAAAAAAGGCGAGCGCUUCGCUGCGCGCCUCUCGCCUCAGUGAAGCGGGCCCUCGUCGCUAUUUGUCGCCGCACGCUAUCCAAAACACUGGUUCCCUAGUUAAACCCUUUUGAGCCUUGAACCUUUUUGUUGGCAUCCUCAUUACAAGCUUUAUACCUUUAUGCUUAAUUGACCUAUCUUUUGGCACCCUACCUCCUUGAGCAUUAAAAAUUGCAACUUAGGCUUUUAGCCUAAGUUGGGGGGAGUGAAUGGUGAAGUUGUGAACGGGAAGUUGAUGGAAAGGUAAAAGAGAAAAGUUAAAAAAAAAAAAGUGAAAGGAAAA